Non-coding RNA from Cyanistes caeruleus (blue tit), 3491 nucleotides. Lineage: Eukaryota; Metazoa; Chordata; Aves; Passeriformes; Paridae. The record is from RefSeq and is a predicted model, not a curated record.
UUAUUAUUUACCUUGAAAUUAAUUAUUUUUCUUUUUUAAAAAAUUUGUGCCUCUUUAAGUGCUAUAACUUAGUUUUAUGCAUACCCAUACACUUCAAUUCAUCAGUUCUGUACAUCUAUCCUAAAACCUUCUAGUUGGAAAUCAUUGAUUAAAUCCAUCCCUGACAUUUACUGCAUAUGGCAGAGUUGUGGUAAGAUUUAAGUGGACACAAUCUAAUUUUUAUUUGUUUCUGAGGGAGCAGUUAGAGUGAACAUUUCUUCCAAGGAUCUCUGAGCAUCAAAACGAGCAAAACUAAAAGAACCAUAAGCAUGCAUUGAAAAUGUGACUCCUCCUUGACUAGAGAGCUAAAAGGAUACUGUAGUCAAAUACAAACUGAAGACAGCCCAAUCAGGGAAAAAAAUUGUGAUUUUCUACCUAACCUUUCCUCUUAAACUGUUUGGGACUAAUUUCUUACAGGCAGUUCUAUUAAACAAAUCUUGGUAAGUAUCUUCCCCCUGAAACGGUGAUUAUAACAGCAAAACAAAUUGUCAGUCAUGGGGCUAUGACAAAUAACAAAAACUUCUAUCAAGUCCCUAAACAGACUGGAGUCAUUAACAUUACAGGCACAACCCUUGGAAAGGGAGCAACUAGGAACAAAGCAGAAUUAUUACCAAAAGAACAAUAAAGUGGUUUAGAUACAUUAAGAUCAAUUAGGCAUUAGUUUUAAUAUAGCCUAAAGUUAAAAGCUGUUAAACAAUCCCAUUUGCAUCAUUUAAAGUUCACAGCCCAAGGAAAAUACCAUGUAUAAAGAAACCAGAGAGCCUUCUGUGAACUGUGUGUCAAUUAUCUAAUUACCUUUGAUAACAUCAGGUGCAAACCUCCAAGGAAAAAGCUUUAAAGAGCUCUUGCAGGUACGUGUGUAUUAGGAGAGUAAUAAGACUUCUUGCAGGGAGAAGAGAAAGAACUGCAUCUUGCAUUGGAAUGAAUGUCCCGUUCCUGGUUGCAAGCAUGUGAGAGAUGAGAGUUACACUACAGUUACUGGAGCAAGAUUAUCAACUCCAAAUGCAGCUUCUCAGCUUGGGAAGAGGGACAGGGAGAUUGGGUGAGUUUCUGCUUUGACUCUUACUUCCAGGCUGAGAUGCUGCCAUGUAUUCCUGCUAGUCAAGGAGAGAAUCCAAGCCUGGCUCCUACCUCCUGGCCUUCCUCCUUCCUCUGCAGUGUCUGUGGAUGGGGAAGAGUGAGAGCACUUUGUGGUCCUGCUCCUUGGGCACCUUCUUGCAGAGAUAGCAGAGCUCUCUGACAGAGGAGGUCAGUGAUAAGAUCUCAGCCUGCAAACACAGCUCCACCUUAGGUGUUGCAUGGGGCAGCUGCCCUUGAAUUCCCACCAUGAAAUGCCUGUGCACCACCAGCUUGGGCAAUAGCUGUGAACAUCUGUGAACAUUAUCUGCUCACUGGUGGUGCUUACAUCCCUGCUUCUCUGACUGGUAAUUCCCUGCACUGGUUGGAAGAAUGUUGCCUGUCUGCACAAUGGGAAUUGCUUUGAGGUCUGGACAAUGUGCUGCCACAGCCAGGUGGGAAGGAGAUAUGUCUGCAUUCCUGGUCAGCACCAGUAUCUGCCUUCUGAUUUUUGAAGGGAAAUUGUAGUUACUUCUUCAGCAGGAAGCUUUGUGACCAGCUGAGCCUUCUCUGUGUUCGUGACAAGAAACCUGCAUUUGUGGCUCUUUAAGAUGGUAUCACCCCGACUCUUCAAGGACUGGGACACACAACUGACAUGAGACCACACCAACCAAAAAUCAGGUGCUCUAAUAACAGCAUGGACUGUCGAGUGCAAGGCAAUUGAGCAAACACAGGAAAAGGAUACACAACAGACAGCGUACCAAGCAAAAAGACAACAGAGGAAGAGAAUGAAAGAGCUGAACCAGAAGUUGGACAAGACAGCACUUCAGAUCUGAAGGAACCAACAAUGGACACCAGGCCUUUAUUAUGUCAAAAGAAAAGAGAAGCUCUUUUUUUUAGCUUGGUUCACAGCUCAUCAGGAUGCUCAUUCCCAGAACCCCUGAGCUUAGACUUGGUGGAAAGUAGGGUCUCAGGUUUCAUCAGUGACAGCCUGGUAUCACCCAAAGUUCUGGAGACAAGUUUGGUCACUGUGAGAAGAUCUUCCUACACCUGCAAGUAGCAGGGAGAAGGCUGUGACACCAGCUUUAGAAAAGAUUCAGGAAAUGAUGCAAGUUAAUUUCUGUUUGAAAUGCUCAGAAAUAUGGCACCUUGGAAAAGGAAAUUUUCCAGAUCUGAGACUGGUCUAUGUAUAUGACUACUCAUACUUUUGUCUGACUCAAAAUACAGGUGAGAGUUUCUUUGAAAAGUGAUUAAAAACAUAUAUUUUACUUUUUAAAUGGCAAAACCAUGCUCAGAAUCAUUCCAAUUCUUCUCAUACUUAAAUGAAACGCCCACGUAACAGACCAUCCCAUCCACUAUUUUAAUGAGUUCUAAAUCUGUCAAGAAUUGUCAACAUUCAUCAGUGUGGAUAUUUUGAGGACUUGUAGGUGCAAAAGAAGUUAAUUUUUUUUAGACAAAAGCAGUAUUAAUAAUACAACAUAAUUUGUAAACAUUGACUGGUACUCAUUAUCAGAAAGGGUAGCUGGAAAAAAAAAUCAUUUUAUAUUUCAAUCUUCCGGACACUGGUAGAAUCCAGACCAGUGCAAAAUAAUGAGCUUGCUUACUGUUGCUGUGUGGGAAAAGAGAAGAGGAGCUAGAGGUGAGACUGCAGGAAUAAAACAGACUAAGUAGGCAUGACAGGAGUAUGGGGGCUAAGUGUAAUGACAGGAACUUCAUAACACAUUCUUCAUAAAAGUGACAGGAAAAGCAAAGGAGGCGAACAGCACUCUGCCAAAAGCAUCUAUUCAAAUGCUGAAAUAAAGAGGGAUAAUUUUUGGUAGGACAUGCAUGGCUAAACUGCUGGCUUAAAAAAAAGAAGGAUAAUUGAGAAUUACAGGAAGAAUGGUACUAAAGACUGGAGAUCAUGAACACAAAACAGUGAAGAUUUAGCAAUCAUAGUCUAAGUUGCAAAAGCAUAUAUUAAGUACUCCCUAGAGGCACUUAUUUGAUUAAAGUACUUUUAAAACAAUCUCAGAAAUUAAGAAGAAUUUAAAAUCCUGUACUUUAGUUCCUUUUUGUCAGCUCUGAGGUUAAAUAUUCAUGCGUUGUAAAUAUUUAGGGCAUAACUUAAUAUUCAUCAUAAUGUAUGCCAAACUGUGCCCUUUGGAUUAUUCCUAGCAGUGACCACCUCCUUAAUCCAAAAUCUCUCUUCAAAUCCUUAAAUGCUGGGAAUGCUGUCAGAAGGGAGUAUGAGUUUAACUUAAAGUGAGGGAGAUCUGGUCAGGCAUCUUCAGCCACACGUUGAGUUCCCACCUUCACAGAUGAAAACUGGAGAAGGUGUGUCUUGGGUUCCACCAGGACACCCCAGCACUCUGAUAUGCAGUACUAGUAAAUCUGCUGGUAGGGCUAAGACACUG